GCGCCUCGCACGUAAACACCAGGAGAAGACUCGUCGGGGGAAAAUGCGGCUGCUGUUCGACGCUCUGAGGAAGCAGGUCGGACUCAGCGGCUCGAGGACGUCGAAGAUCUCCACCCUGAACACGGCGGUGGAGGUUAUCCAAGAUCUGCAGAUGAUAGAGAUGGAAAUGGAGAAGAAGAAGGCGACGCUGAGGAAGAAGAGGGACCGAUAUCUGUGGAGACUCGUUCCAUCAUCAGCAGACCAAACUGAAGCUAACUCCAGGGAGGUCAUUGAUCUGAUCGACGACACCAUCGAAAUCUCAUCUGACGAGGAGAUUGAGGUGGACGAUGGCGAUCGGGGCGUUUCCAAGGCGACGGUGGAGGAAAACGUUCGGCUGAAGAGGAUGAGGAGAUCAGAUGUGGAUGAGACGCCAGGAACCACGAACUCUCCAAAGAAGCUGCAGCUCCAUCAGGCUCGUCAGGAGCUCCAGACUCUGCACAGCGCGAUAGAGGAGCUGAAGAGUCUGAAGACGAGUCUGAAGCAGCAGAGAGACACACAGAGUUCAGGUGAAAAACCAGGUAAGAGCGAGCAGAGAUCAGGAAGUCAGCAGCCAACAGGAGACACAAUUGAAGAUGGCAUCACGGCCACAUCACCUGACCCGCAGCCUCCACAAGCUCCUCCCACUUGUGGUUCUGCCCCACCCACUCCUACACCUGUCCAGCCUCUGGUCCAACAGGUAUUAAACACCGUCCUAGCUCAUUCUGCUGCGUCCCACAAUGCAUCUGUGCAGAGAGAUCGGCCGAGGACGAUUCCCAACAUCCUGUCUCGCAGGAAGACUCAUCCACAGCCACCUCAGAACACAACGACUGAAGAGGGUAAGACUUAACUACCCAACCACCUGACUAACUACCUGACCUACCUGUUGACUCACAUAGUUACCUGGUUAGUUACCAACUGAUAGACGUAGUCAACCAGUUACUAAGUGAGUAGGCUGACUUAUUAAAUAACUGAUCUAGAAAGUAGACAAAGUCAACCAGUGAGUAGCAGACCCAACUGAAACAUUUAAUUAGUCAGUUACUAAGUUAGCUGCUGACCAACCAAUAUACUGAUCUACUGUUAGACUUAACCAACCAGUUACUCAGUUAGCUGAUUGGCUGAUUGACUUAAUAACUAAAUAAUAGACUCAGACUAACAGUUACUCAGUUAGCAGACUAACUUACUAACUGUUCUACAAGUAGACAAAGUCAACCAGUUACCUAGUUAGCUAACUAACUAAAUAACCAACUAAACAAGUCGCAGACCCAAUUUAAACAUUUAGUCAGUCAGUCAGGUACUAAGUCAGCUAUUGACUAACUAAUUAACUGAUGUACUUUUAGACAUAACCAACCAGUUACUCGGUUAGCUGAUUGACUUUUUAAAUAACUAAAUAAUGGACUCAGACUAACAGUUACUCAGUUAUCUGACUGAAGGACAAACUAACUAGCUAUGUUAAUAAGUGACUUACUUAGAAACUUAGUCAAACAGUUACUCUCCUAACUGCCUCAUUAACUGACUAACUAUAUUAAUAAAUAAGUGACUUGCUUAGAGACUUAGUUAAUCAGUUACUGACUCAUUAACUAACUGACUGACUUUGUGACAAUGAAACACCUACUAGUAGACUUAGUCAAGUAGUUAUCUGAAAGACUCAGUGAUGUUUAGCUAACUGUUUGACUGACUGACUGAAUUAAUAACUAGCCAACUAACUAUUGAUCUGCCCCACUAAGUUAUUUUUUUACUGCUAAUUUAGUUACUUAGUGGUCCGUUAAUUAAACAGUUAAUUAAACUACUAUCAGUCCGGUUUUUCUGGACUGAUAGUUGUUGUG
Long non-coding RNA from Amphiprion ocellaris (clown anemonefish), 1841 nucleotides. NCBI's taxonomy places the organism in Eukaryota, Metazoa, Chordata, Actinopteri, Pomacentridae. The record is from Ensembl.